Molecule: ribosomal RNA, 781 nt
Filed under: uncultured Spartobacteria bacterium
Lineage: Bacteria; Pseudomonadati; Verrucomicrobiota; Spartobacteria
Description: bacterial SSU rRNA
Rfam family: Bacterial small subunit ribosomal RNA
Source: RNAcentral
AGAGUUUGAUCCUGGCUCAGGAUCAACGCUGGCGGCGUGCCUAACGCAUGUAAGUCGAACGCACAGCCUUCGGGUUGUGAGUGGCGAACGGCUGAGGAACACGUACGAACCUGCCUGUUUGUGGGGAAUAACGCGCCGAAAGGCGUGCUAAUACCGCGUACGCUCACCUUUACCGGUGAGGAAAGCCUUCGGGCGCAGACAGCGGGGCGUGCGGCCCAUCAGGUUGUUGGUGGGGUAAUGGCCUACCAAGCCGGUGACGGGUAGCUGGUCUGUGAGGACGAUCAGCCAGACUGGGACUGCGACACGGCCCAGACACCUACGGGUGGCAGCAGCGAGGAAUCUUCCACAAUGGGCGAAAGCCCGAUGGAGCAACGCCGCGUGGAGGACGACGGCCUUCGGGUUGUAAACUCCUGUCAUUGGUGAACAAGAUCUGCCGGGUAACUCCGUGCAGGUUUGCUAGUAGCCGAAGAGGAAGGGACGGCUAACUCUGUGCCAGCAGCCGCGGUAAUACAGAGGUCCCAAGCGUUGUUCGGAUUUAUUGGGCGUAAAGGGUGCGUAGGCGGCGGAGUAAGUUGGGUGUGAAAUCCCGGGGCUCAACCUCGGAAUUGCAUUCAAUACUGCUUCGCUAGAGUACUGGAGAGGAGGCUGGAAUUUACGGUGUAGCAGUGAAAUGCGUAGAUAUCGUAAGGAAGGCCGGUGGCGAAAGCGAGCCUCUGGACAGUUACUGACGCUGAUGCACGAAGGCCAGGGGAGCAAACGGGAUUAGAUACCCCCGUAGUCC